CCUACGGGGGGCAGCAGUGGGGAAUAUUGCACAAUGGGGGAAACCCUGAUGCAGCGACGCCGCGUGGAGGAAGAAGGUCUUCGGAUUGUAAACUCCUGUUGUUGGGGAAGAUAAUGACGGUACCCAACAAGGAAGUGACGGCUAACUACGUGCCAGCAGCCGCGGUAAAACGUAGGUCACAAGCGUUGUCCGGAAUUACUGGGUGUAAAGGGAGCGCAGGCGGGAAGACAAGUUGGAAGUGAAAUCUAUGGGCUCAACCCAUAAACUGCUUUCAAAACUGUUUUUCUUGAGUAGUGCAGAGGUAGGCGGAAUUCCCGGUGUAGCGGUGGAAUGCGUAGAUAUCGGGAGGAACACCAGUGGCGAAGGCGGCCUACUGGGCACCAACUGACGCUGAGGCUCGAAAGUGUGGGUAGCAAACAGGAUUAGAUACCC
This 432-nucleotide ribosomal RNA is filed under the name uncultured bacterium. Its description in RNAcentral is "bacterial SSU rRNA". It matches the Rfam family "Bacterial small subunit ribosomal RNA", at positions 338 to 787 of the family's 1533-position model. The record is from RNAcentral.